UUUAAGGGCUUGUUUGGUUCAGAAAUUUUAGACUUUGGAAUCCGAAUGAGAUUCAUUGAUUCCAAUAGUUGUUGUUUGUUUUAUAGAAAUUGGAUUCUAAUUCCCAUUCAACUACGUAAUGGGAAUGGUCCAAUCUAUUUAGCCUAAUCCGGCUUUAAAUUCUGAAUUGGCUCAUUCUAGAGUAAACCACUCUAAACCCUCUCUCACAAACACCCCCCCUCCUCUCUCUCUCUUUACUCCUCCCUUAACCAAAAACCCUGUCUCAGAAUCCUAGGUGUCCCAAUUGUUCAUUUCGAUUUUCAUUCCAAUAAUGAACAAAAUAGUUUUGGAUAUUUCAUUAUUCUAUUUUUCAUUCCAAUACAAUUCAAUUCCAUUUCUCAUUCUCAUGCCAAUCAUGAAACAAACAUACCUUAAGUGCCCAA
This 422-nucleotide long non-coding RNA is filed under the name Ananas comosus (pineapple). RNAcentral describes it as "long non-coding RNA (ACOM_LNC022523)". Lineage: Eukaryota; Viridiplantae; Streptophyta; Magnoliopsida; Poales; Bromeliaceae. The record is from RNAcentral.